UGGGGAAUAUUGGACAAUGGGCGCAAGCCUGAUCCAGCCAUGCCGCGUGAGUGACGAAGGCCUUAGGGUUGUAAAGCUCUUUUGUCAGGGAAGAUAAUGACGGUACCUGAAGAAUAAGACACGGCUAACUUCGUGCCAGCAGCCGCGGUAAUACGAAGGUGUCUAGCGUUGUUCGGAAUCACUGGGCGUAAAGCGCGCGUAGGCGGCUUUGCAAGUCAGGGGUGAAAUCCUGGGGCUUAACCUCAGAAUUGCCUUUGAAACUGCAAGGCUGGAGUAUUGGAGAGGAGUGCGGAAUACCUAAUGUAGCGGUGAAAUGCGUAGAUAUUAGGUGGAACACCGAUGGCGAAGGCAGCACUCUGGACAAUAACUGACGCUGAGGCGCGAAAGCGUGGGGAUCAAA
RNAcentral lists this ribosomal RNA (400 nucleotides) under uncultured bacterium. Its description in RNAcentral is "bacterial SSU rRNA". It matches the Rfam family "Bacterial small subunit ribosomal RNA", at positions 355 to 772 of the family's 1533-position model. The record is from RNAcentral.